UUUCUCUUAGUCAUACAUUUGAUGGUCAAAGAUGACUGCACAAUUCUUUUUAUAUCGGCAAGUAAUGCAUCCUGCAGUGUGCCACCUCUUUCAAACAUGAUCAACUGGAUUUCCACACCUGUUGUUCAAAUAUUCAAAACUUGUCUCCUGUUUUUACAGCUUGAGGGCCCAACAAUCUUCUAGCUUGACAUUACCAAAGAGCAACUAAAUCACCACAAAUAACUCUUUACAUUCAUGAAAAUACAAAAUAUUUUGAAGCAAGGCGUCAUCUUUGGUACUCCAUUGAUUUCGUAAGCUUUUAGUGAAUUCCUACCCCCCUCCUUUGACAAUUCUUUUCUCAAGUUCUUUAUUUUUAAAUUAUCUUUGUCUGCACAUUGAUCUGUGUUUUAUGGUAUUGUAGUAAACUUUUAUUUUAAUUUGUCAUUUGUUCCCCCCUUGAUUCUCAUAUCUACACCUAAUAUUUGAAAUUGUUAAAUUAAAUUAAAGGGUGUGGCUAAAUUUAUGAAAAUAUCUCAAGAAAACAUAUCGUACUUAUAUACUCUAGUAUUUAUUUGUUUUAAAAAAUAAAAGUAGGUAAGUAUGUUAUAUAUUCAAAAGUGGAACAACUUAGCACUAUGGCGGUGCUAAGGCAGUAAAUAAGUUAAAACCUUUUGUACGUAAACGAAAAGAAGGUUUCCUACGGUGGAAGUCCUAUCUUUGUAGAGUAACUAUGAAAUCUACUAUGUUAUUUUCGUCCUUUACAUCUUGUAUAUUACAUCAAAAUUAAAAACUUAUAGAAAAUUAUAUUUAAGUUGUUGUACAGUACUCAUCUUCCGUUCAAAACAUCACAUUUUUGCCUUCUAUAAAAUCCAACAUUUGCUGGCAUGGACUGUGAUGCAAUACUUGGCACUCUAUGUUUUUUUUUUCAAAAUUUUUUUGUACUUUAUUAGCUUUCUUUCUACUUAGUUUUGAUUUCCACCUAUCUUUUGGUUCUAUGUUCUCUAUCUUUUGAAAUACUUCCAUUAUGUCUCAGAUCUUUUUCUACUAAAUUAUAUGGAUGACUCCUGUUUUGUUUGUGGUUAAUCUUGAUUUUGUUGAAGAGAAAAGGAGAUAAACAUAGUAGAAAAAAUGUAUUAGAACUUUUCUUCUCAAGUUGACACAAAUUUGUUAUUUUGACAGAUAAAAUUUUUAUAUUUGAAGCACCAGCCUUCAUCUGAUUAGAGUGAAGUAGAAGUAUGAACAACUGAAAAUGAACGAACUAGUUGAAGCACAAAGUCUAUGAGAACAAAGUCUAGCACCAAGUGAAUAUGUUAUGGGUUGUAUCUCUACUUAAGAAGGAGAGUAGAGUACACUGUAUAUGUGAUUGAUAAGGAGACUAGAGUGCAUAAAAGACCUUGAUAUUCCUUAACCAUGUCCCUACAUGGGAUGUGUCCUAGUACUAUCCUUGGCAAGUAGAACACCCUCCAACGGAGUAGGGUAGACUUCGAAUUCCAUGCCUAGCUAGUAUGGUCUAUGUCGGUUAUUGCCUAUUCUAAUCAUGUGGGAUACAUACUAGUGUUGGAUAAGUACUAUGAAGUUUAGGUAGUGGAAUGAGACGCUAUCUAGACAUUGCAUGAUUAGGCUUUGAAGAUGUUAGUGUGCGAGUGCGCUAGGUCUUUUUUAAAACCAUUAUGUGAAUGUCCAUACGUAAUGAAUGUUUUCUAAAUGACUUUAGUAAAGAAAUUUUAUUUAAAAAGUAGUUAUCUAGAGUAUCUUUGAGGAUUGCUUAGGUAGGCUUGAAAAAGGUGUAUGAGCGGUCUCUUCAUGUCUUACUUAGGUGAGUCUUACAGUAACUAUAGGAAGGGAGUUUAACAAAUAAAGUGAUAAUGGUCUUAUCUUAGUAGUCUUAAUGAUCAUUUAGGUUUCUUAGAGAGGGUGUAUGGGAGGUCUCUCUUCGUAUCACUUAAGCGAGUCUUUGGAUAACCUUUGGUGAAAGGGUAGCAAGUUAAAAGAGGUGACUGUGAAGUUGAACUUAGUUCACUGUAAAGUGACAUAGUUCACUAUAACAUUCUCCAAUAUUUGAUAAAAUGCAUAUCUUAUAUGUUUCUAUGGUGUUUAAUGUUGUUCUUAUGCUUAUACUAUGAUAUUUUAAUAAAAAAGACCAUGUUUUAUACAAAAGUCUGUUUGUCAUGAUUUAUACAUUAUGCCAUACUUACUAAAAGUGUUUGUACUAAUUCCAUACAUUUUUUCUAUCUCUAAAGGUAUAGGUCGCGUUUGAGAAGUCUCGAAGUGGAAGCUUGGAUUAGUGAUUCAUUCAAGUAAAGAGUUGGUAUGUCGUCACUAGAUUUGAGGACGUCUUGAUGUUUAGAUUUCCUUAUUGAAAGUAUUGUAAUAGACUUAGCUAUAUUCUAUGUGAUGAAUUAUGGUCCGUGUCCUAAUUUAUUCGUAUGUCUAAGAUGACGACUUUGAGACUUAGACUUCCAUUAUGUUUUUCUAUAAAAGAGAUAUUUUAAAGUAUUAUUAUUUCAUGU
Molecule: long non-coding RNA, 2489 nt
Filed under: Solanum lycopersicum (tomato)
Lineage: Eukaryota; Viridiplantae; Streptophyta; Magnoliopsida; Solanales; Solanaceae
Description: long non-coding RNA (SLYC_LNC000516)
Source: RNAcentral